This 462-nucleotide ribosomal RNA is filed under the name uncultured bacterium. Its description in RNAcentral is "partial 16S ribosomal RNA". It matches the Rfam family "Bacterial small subunit ribosomal RNA", at positions 28 to 507 of the family's 1533-position model. The record is from RNAcentral.
GACGAACGCUGGCGGCGUGCUUAACACAUGCAAGUCGAACGGUGAAGCCCUUCGGGGUUGAUCAGUGGCGAACGGGUGAGUAACACGUGAGCAACCUGCCCCUGGCUCUGGGACAACCACUGGAAACGGUGGCUAAUACCGGAUACGACCCGCCUCGGCAUCGAUUGUGGGUGGGAAGUUUUUCGGCUGGGGAUGGGCUCGCGGCCUAUCAGCUUGUUGGUGAGGUGAAGGCUCACGAAGGCGACGACGGGUAGCCGGCCUGAGAGGGCGACCGGCCACACUGGGACUGAUACACGGCCUAUAGUCCUACGGGAUGCAGCAGUGCGGAAUAUUGCGCAAUGGGCGGAAGCCUGAUGCAGCGACGCCGCGUUGGGGAUGACGGCCUUCGGGUUGUGAACCUCUUUCAGCUCCGAAGAAGCGAAAGUGCCGGUAGGAGCAGAAGAAGCACCGGCUAACUACGUG